GAACGCUUCCUUUUUCCACCGGAAGCUUGCUCCACCGGAAAAAGAGGAGUGGCGAACGGGUGAGUAACACGUGGGUAACCUGCCCAUCAGAAGGGGAUAACACUUGGAAACAGGUGCUAAUACCGUAUAACAAUCGAAACCGCAUGGUUUUGAUUUGAAAGGCGCUUUCGGGUGUCGCUGAUGGAUGGACCCGCGGUGCAUUAGCUAGUUGGUGAGGUAACGGCUCACCAAGGCCACGAUGCAUAGCCGACCUGAGAGGGUGAUCGGCCACAUUGGGACUGAGACACGGCCCAAACUCCUACGGGAGGCAGCAGUAGGGAAUCUUCGGCAAUGGACGAAAGUCUGACCGAGCAACGCCGCGUGAGUGAAGAAGGUUUUCGGAUCGUAAAACUCUGUUGUUAGAGAAGAACAAGGAUGAGAGUAACUGUUCAUCCCUUGACGGUAUCUAACCAGAAAGCCACGGCUAACUACGUGCCAGCAGCCGCGGUAAUACGUAGGUGGCAAGCGUUGUCCGGAUUUAUUGGGCGUAAAGCGAGCGCAGGCGGUUUCUUAAGUCUGAUGUGAAAGCCCCCGGCUCAACCGGGGAGGGUCAUUGGAAACUGGGAGACUUGAGUGCAGAAGAGGAGAGUGGAAUUCCAUGUGUAGCGGUGAAAUGCGUAGAUAUAUGGAGGAACACCAGUGGCGAAGGCGGCUCUCUGGUCUGUAACUGACGCUGAGGCUCGAAAGCGUGGGGAGCAAACAGGAUUAGAUACCCUGGUAGUCCACGCCGUAAACGAUGAGUGCUAAGUGUUGGAGGGUUUCCGCCCUUCAGUGCUGCAGCUAACG
RNAcentral lists this ribosomal RNA (825 nucleotides) under Enterococcus faecium. Its description in RNAcentral is "bacterial SSU rRNA". It matches the Rfam family "Bacterial small subunit ribosomal RNA", at positions 64 to 857 of the family's 1533-position model. The record is from RNAcentral. Lineage: Bacteria; Bacillati; Bacillota; Bacilli; Lactobacillales; Enterococcaceae.